Molecule: ribosomal RNA, 422 nt
Filed under: uncultured bacterium
Lineage: Bacteria
Description: bacterial SSU rRNA
Rfam family: Bacterial small subunit ribosomal RNA
Source: RNAcentral
GUAAGGAAUAUUGGUCAAUGGACGCAAGUCUGAACCAGCCAUGCCGCGUGAAGGAUGAAGGUCCUCUGGAUUGUAAACUUCUUUUAUCUGGGACGAAAACGGGAUUUUUAUCUCAAUUGACGGUACCAGAGGAAUAAGCACCGGCUAACUCCGUGCCAGCAGCCGCGGUAAUACGGAGGGUGCGAGCGUUAUCCGGAUUUACUGGGUUUAAAGGGUGCUUAGGUGGGCUUAUAAGUCAGUGGUGAAAUCUCCGAGCUUAACUUGGAAACUGCCGUUGAUACUAUAGGUCUUGAAUUAUCUGGAGGUAAGCGGAAUAUGUCAUGUAGCGGUGAAAUGCUUAGAUAUGACAUAGAACACCAAUUGCGAAGGCAGCUUACUACAUAUAUAUUGACGCUGAGGCACGAAAGCGUGGGGAUCAAACA